ACUUUAAUAGUUUAAUUAAAAUUUUGAUUUGUGGUAUCAAUGAUGUGUAGAAUAUACUUAGGGUU
Molecule: transfer RNA, 65 nt
Filed under: Balta maculata
Lineage: Eukaryota; Metazoa; Arthropoda; Insecta; Blattodea; Pseudophyllodromiidae
Description: tRNA-His
Source: RNAcentral